CCGGAGCGCGCUAAAUGCAGUCGACGAAGAGCAAUACUUAGUGGCAGACGGGUGAGUAACAUGUGGGUAUCUACCCUUUGGCCUGGAAUAACACGAGGAAACUUGUGCUAAUACCAGAUAAGUCUUAACGGAGAAAGCUUUAUGCACCAUUGGAUGAGCCUGCACUUGAUUAGUUUGUUGGUGGGGUAAUGGCCUACCAAGACUGUGAUCAAUAGCUGAUUUGAGAGGAUGAUCAGCCACAUUGGGACUGAGACACGGCCCAAACUCCUACGGGAGGCAGCAGUGGGGAAUCUUGCACAAUGGAGGAAACUCUGAUGCAGCGAUGCCGCGUGAGUGAAGAAGGCCCUUGGGUUGUAAAGCUCUUUCGUCGGGGAAGAAAAUGACUGUACCCGAAUAAGAAGGUCCGGCUAACUUCGUGCCAGCAGCCGCGGUAAUACGAAGGGACCUAGCGUAGUUCGGAAUUACUGGGCUUAAAGAGUUCGUAGGUGGUUGAAAAAGUUAGUGGUGAAAUCCCAGAGCUUAACUCUGGAACUGCCAUUAAAACUUUUCAGCUAGAGUAUGAUAGAGGAAAGCAGAAUUUCUAGUGUAGAGGUGAAAUUCGUAGAUAUUAGAAAGAAUACCAAUUGCGAAGGCAGCUUUCUGGAUCAUUACUGACACUGAGGAACGAAAGCAUGGGUAGCGAAGAGGAUUAGAUACCCUCGUAGUCCAUGCCGUAAACGAUGUGUGUUAGACGUUGGAAAUUUAUUUUCAGUGUCGCAGCGAAAGCGAUAAACACACCGCCUGGGGAGUACGACCGCAAGGUUAAAACUCAAAUGAAUUGACGGGGACCCGCACAAGUAGUGGAG
Molecule: ribosomal RNA, 845 nt
Filed under: uncultured marine bacterium
Lineage: Bacteria
Description: bacterial SSU rRNA
Rfam family: Bacterial small subunit ribosomal RNA
Source: RNAcentral